Molecule: ribosomal RNA, 435 nt
Filed under: uncultured bacterium
Lineage: Bacteria
Description: bacterial SSU rRNA
Rfam family: Bacterial small subunit ribosomal RNA
Source: RNAcentral
AACGCGAAGAAMCUUACCUGGGUUUGACAUCACCGCAAAUCCCUCAGAGAUGGGGGGUCCUUCGGGGGCGGUGACAGGUGGUGCAUGGCUGUCGUCAGCUCGUGUCGUGAGAUGUUGGGUUAAGUCCCGCAACGAGCGCAACCCUUGUUCGAUGUUGCCAGCGGUUCGGCCGGGGACUCAUCGAAGACUGCCGGGGUCAACUCGGAGGAAGGUGGGGAUGACGUCAAGUCAUCAUGCCCCUUAUGUCCAGGGCUUCACGCAUGCUACAAUGGCCGGUACAAAGGGCUGCGAUACCGUGAGGUGGAGCGAAUCCCAAAAAGCCGGUCUCAGUUCGGAUCGGGGUCUGCAACUCGACCCCGUGAAGUCGGAGUCGCUAGUAAUCGCAGAUCAGCAACGCUGCGGUGAAUACGUUCCCGGGUCUUGUACACACCGCCU